GAUUCUGGCUCAGGAUGAACGCUGGCGGCGUGCCUAACACAUGCAAGUCGAACGGGGUUAAGGGAAUUUCGGAUGGAACUUAACUUAGUGGCGGACGGGUGAGUAACGCGUGGAUAACCUGCCUCACACUGGGGGAUAGCAGCUGGAAACGGCUGGUAAUACCGCAUAAGACCACGGUGCCGCAUGGCACCGGGGUAAAAGAUUUAUCGGUGUGAGAUGGAUCCGCGUCUGAUUAGCCAGUUGGCGGGGUAACGGCCCACCAAAGCGACGAUCAGUAGCCGGCCUGAGAGGGUGAACGGCCACAUUGGGACUGAGACACGGCCCAAACUCCUACGGGAGGCAGCAGUGGGGAAUAUUGCACAAUGGGCGCAAGCCUGAUGCAGCCAACGCCGCGUGAGUGAAGAAGUAUUUCGGUAUGUAAAGCUCUAUCGGCAGGGAAGAAAGGCCCGAAAGGGAGAUGACGGUACCUGACUAAGAAGCCCCGGCUAACUACGUGCCAGCAGCCGC
RNAcentral lists this ribosomal RNA (507 nucleotides) under uncultured bacterium. RNAcentral's name for it is "bacterial SSU rRNA". It matches the Rfam family "Bacterial small subunit ribosomal RNA", at positions 15 to 518 of the family's 1533-position model. The record is from RNAcentral.